CUGCGGCAGCGACACUGUGUGUUGUUGGGUAGGGGAGCGUUCUGUAAGCCUGUGAAGGUGUGUCGUGAGGCAUGCUGGAGGUAUCAGAAGUGCGAAUGCUGACAUAAGUAACGAUAAAGCGGGUGAAAAGCCCGCUCGCCGGAAGACCAAGGGUUCCUGUCCAACGUUAAUCGGGGCAGGGUGAGUCGACCCCUAAGGCGAGGCCGAAAGGCGUAGUCGAUGGGAAACGGGUUAAUAUUCCCGUACUUGGUGUUACUGCGAAGGGGGGACGGAGAAGGCUAUGUUGGCCGGGCGACGGUUGUCCCGGUUUAAGCGUGUAGGUGUGUGUUCCAGGUAAAUCCGGUUCACUUUAACACUGAGGCGUGACGACGAGGCACUACGGUGCUGAAGCAACAAAUGCCCUGCUUCCAGGAAAAGCCUCUAAGCAUCAGGUAACAUCAAAUCGUACCCCAAACCGACACAGGUGGUCAGGUAGAGAAUACCAAGGCGCUUGAGAGAACUCGGGUGAAGGAACUAGGCAAAAUGGUGCCGUAACUUCGGGAGAAGGCACGCUGACACGUAGGUGAAGUGAUUUACUCAUGGAGCUGAAGUCAGUCGAAGAUACCAGCUGGCUGCAACUGUUUAUUAAAAACACAGCACUGUGCAAACACGAAAGUGGACGUAUACGGUGUGACGCCUGCCCGGUGCCGGAAGGUUAAUUGAUGGGGUCAGCGCAAGCGAAGCUCCUGAUCGAAGCCCCGGUAAACGGCGGCCGUAACUAUAACGGUCCUAAGGUAGCGAAAUUCCUUGUCGGGUAAGUUCCGACCUGCACGAAUGGCGUAAUGAUGGCCAGGCUGUCUCCACCCGAGACUCAGUGAAAUUGAACUCGCUGUGAAGAUGCAGUGUACCCGCGGCAAGACGGAAAGACCCCGUGAACCUUUACUAUAGCUUGACACUGAACAUUGAGCCUUGAUGUGUAGGAUAGGUGGGAGGCUUUGAAGUGUGGACGCCAGUCUGCAUGGAGCCGACCUUGAAAUACCACCCUUUAAUGUUUGAUGUUCUAACGUGGACCCGUGAUCCGGGUUGCGGACAGUGUCUGGUGGGUAGUUUGACUGGGGCGGUCUCCUCCUAAAGAGUAACGGAGGAGCACGAAGGUUGGCUAAUCCUGGUCGGACAUCAGGAGGUUAGUGCAAUGGCAUAAGCCAGCUUGACUGCGAGCGUGACGGCGCGAGCAGGUGCGAAAGCAGGUCAUAGUGAUCCGGUGGUUCUGAAUGGAAGGGCCAUCGCUCAACGGAUAAAAGGUACUCCGGGGAUAACAGGCUGAUACCGCCCAAGAGUUCAUAUCGACGGCGGUGUUUGGCACCUCGAUGUCGGCUCAUCACAUCCUGGGGCUGAAGUAGGUCCCAAGGGUAUGGCUGUUCGCCAUUUAAAGUGGUACGCGAGCUGGGUUUAGAACGUCGUGAGACAGUUCGGUCCCUAUCUGCCGUGGGCGCUGGAGAACUGAGGGGGGCUGCUCCUAGUACGAGAGGACCGGAGUGGACGCAUCACUGGUGUUCGGGUUGUCAUGCCAAUGGCACUGCCCGGUAGCUAAAUGCGGAAGAGAUAAGUGCUGAAAGCAUCUAAGCACGAAACUUGCCCCGAG
This 1621-nucleotide ribosomal RNA is filed under the name Salmonella enterica. Its description in RNAcentral is "partial 23S ribosomal RNA". It matches the Rfam family "Bacterial large subunit ribosomal RNA", at positions 1200 to 2803 of the family's 2925-position model. The record is from RNAcentral. Lineage: Bacteria; Pseudomonadati; Pseudomonadota; Gammaproteobacteria; Enterobacterales; Enterobacteriaceae.